RNAcentral lists this long non-coding RNA (1301 nucleotides) under Equus asinus (donkey). Its description in RNAcentral is "lncRNA (ENSEASG00005028070.1)". Lineage: Eukaryota; Metazoa; Chordata; Mammalia; Perissodactyla; Equidae. The record is from RNAcentral.
CAGGGCCAAGCACACAGUGGCUCACGGAAGGCUAAUUGUAGCGUGAACAAGUUCUUGCUGUCUGAGCAGCAUAAGCCAAAUUCACUGCUCACACAAGGUGGAACCUGUGACUGUGGUCUCACCACGCUGGGCCUCUGUGGUCAAUUGGAAAGACUUUACAUCUGACUAGUAAUAAUUACAUACACACACACACUGUAUUUAGUGAACUGCCAUCAUGAUCAGGUUUUAUGAAUGCAGGAUCUCUAAUUUUCAGAACACUCCUGCAAGCUUGAGGUGAUUGUCCUCAUUUUAUAAAGAGAAAGCUGAGGCUUAGAGCAAGUACAGGGUACUGUGGUUGAAUAUGUACCAGGACUGAAGCUCAGAGCACAAAUUCAGGUGUGCCAGUGUAUCAAACACUUCUUAUGCCCGAUUUCACCCGCCUUGGCCUCACCUGCUUCUCUUUCACCAUCACGGAUUUUGUUCCAGCUUCAGCAGGUAUCACCUGAGAGAGCUGUGCUUCAAGCCGAUGCCUCAGGCUUCUCACCUUCUGCAUCAGGGCUGCUGUCUUGAUACCAUGGUGUCGUAGGACUGUUGGCGCCGUUCCACAUCGGGGCAGGGUGUGAAUAAGAAGAAAGGAAACCUCAUUUAAAAUGGAGUUGGGAGGCCAGAAGCGGGAGCUGGGGCACAAUUACAGACCCCCACAAGAAGACUUCUCGCCUAGCAACAAGCCUGGCCAGUGGGAAACCAUUAUCACUCUGAACUCUCAUUUUCCUCCAAUGAACUUUCCUUCAAAACAACCCCCCAACUUCCUCCUUUUCUCUGUAAAGUAACAUUCCUCUCCCUUGUUUGCUGAACUUGCCUGUGGCUUUUGCUACAGCUUGCUUGUCUGAAUUGCAAUUCCUCUGCUGUUCCUGAAUAAACCCCUUUGCUGGUAAAAUAACUGGCUGUUUUAUUUUGAAGGACAAGAAGGGCUGAGAUUGUUUGAAGCCAAUGUGGAGCCAGGGAGAAGUGGAACAGGCUGCCUGCACGGUGCUGAGGGUAGUCCAGGGCCAUCUUGCAAUAAACAGAACACAAAAUUCAUAUACGUUCUCCCCACCCACCCCUGCUAAAAUUUGGUUAUAAAAAUUUGGACGCAAACCACUUAUAUCUUAAAAGACAAAACAGGAGACUUCAAAGACUUUGAAAACUGAGUAGGCUAGUCCCUGAGACUCAGUAGUUAGAGGUACCUGGGAGACAGGGUUGAGAAGCGUGGUCUGGGGUCCUUUCUCUCAGCUUGGGCCGCAUUCCGUUGCCUGCCCUGUCUGGUGGAGAGGUGAAGUAAG